CAAAUAUAAGCACUUUUAGAAAUUUGUCACUUUCCCAUGGUCAACCAAACAUGCCAAAAGUAUUUUCCUAGGUAUACUCUUACUAUGAAUCUGCUUUCCAGGAAUCAUAUUCGUAGGAGAAAAAAUACUUUCCGCGAACCAAACGAGCCCAAUGUUAGAGCCAGUUUUAGAGUGAAGGACCUUCUUUGUUAUUAAGCUUACGUGGACCCAGGUUAUUUUGGCAUCGCCACACAGUCAAGCUUACUGUACGAGAUGUGACUUCUCAAAAAAUCGUUGAGUUUUAUUUUUCUUUUUGAGUUCCAACGGUUGAAAUCAAGCAUCUUCAAUUCACACAUGCCUAAAAAUUCAAUGGAUUAAUAAUCAUUCAGGUAUUUUGCACUUGUAUUCGCGGAAAGAUAAGUAGGGGGCACACUUGACGCUCAUUGGACUAAUUAAUUACAGAUUGCGGUAUCUGCUGGACGUCUGAUAUUAAUAGGAUCUGAGGCAAAUCAAAAGCCAUAGGUGUAUACCAUGGUUGUCUGCAUCUCCGAGGCAUGAGCCUAGCAAAUAUUUCAAUCUCUGUGAACUUCUCACUUUAAUAUAUAUAUUUUUUCUCCUCUAUACUUUUUAUUGCCCUCAGAGGAGUAGGCAGACCAUACCCGCUUGUGUGGGAAAUGGGUUUUCUUUUCCUUUCUGGUAGAACGGGUAAAGGGUUGUCAAGGCAUGGAGUGGACCAUAAACAGGUCUCUCAUUAUUUGGGCCCAUCUCUUCUUCUCCUCCCUUAAUUUUUGUAUCUCUCUUCUUGUGUUCUGCAGGUCACCCCUGACAAACCACCCUCUUUCUGUCUCUCUGGUGAAGUCGAUUCUGUGCUCUGGACUGGAGGAUCAAUCAGUAUAGGCACUCACGGAAAAAGAAGAAAAGUAAGAAGUCCAACAAGAAGGGAGUAGUUGGUUGGGCCAUACCAAAUCCCAUCGUUGUCAGCUCGUUGGUUCCGUGCAAAGCUUCGCUUUGUGUUUUGACCAGUUGGUGCGCACGGGUUUCCACGCGAGCGCACGAAGAGUUGGACCGGUCACCGGGGUCCGUGGGAUCUCAAGUUUCCGUUUUCCAGAAGAGAACCCCUUGCAGCAACGGUGGCGCACACCAAGAGAUCGAGAUGGAAUGUAAGCGCCAGGGGGCGUUUGGUAACCCCAACAGCAUCACCACGGUGAUCUAAGAUUUCCGAUGAUCCGAAUGCUGAGGUGAUUUGAUCUCCAGUGAUCUAAGAUCAAUGUGUUUGGUAAGCCAUGGUUCAGUGAUUAAAAAUCUCCGAAUAUCCAUGAGUAACUUGUUUAGUAUGGUAUGGAGAUCCAAGAUCACUGACCACAUAAUACCAUAAAUAUUCUUGAUAUAUCUUUGAUGGAUUUUUUACAUGAAUCAAAAAUUUAAGUCAA
Phoenix dactylifera (date palm) is the source of this 1409-nucleotide non-coding RNA. Lineage: Eukaryota; Viridiplantae; Streptophyta; Magnoliopsida; Arecales; Arecaceae. The record is from RefSeq and is a predicted model, not a curated record.